This 460-nucleotide ribosomal RNA is filed under the name uncultured bacterium. RNAcentral describes it as "partial 16S ribosomal RNA". It matches the Rfam family "Bacterial small subunit ribosomal RNA", at positions 338 to 795 of the family's 1533-position model. The record is from RNAcentral.
CCUACGGGAGGCAGCAGUGAGGAAUAUUGGUCAAUGGACGAGAGUCUGAACCAGCCAAGUAGCGUGAAGGAUGACUGCCCUAUGGGUUGUAAACUUCUUUUAUAUGGGAAUAAACUGUUCCACGUGUGGGCUUUUGUAUGUACCAUACGAAUAAGGAUCGGCUAACUCCGUGCCAGCAGCCGCGGUAAUACGGAGGAUCCGAGCGUUAUCCGGAUUUAUUGGGUUUAAAGGGAGCGUAGGUGGAUUGUUAAGUCAGUUGUGAAAGUUUGCGGCUCAACCGUAAAAUUGCAGUUGAGACUGGCAGUCUUGAGUACAGUAGAGGUGGGCGGAAUUCGUGGUGUAGCGGUGAAAUGCUUAGAUAUCACGAAGAACACCGAUUGCGAAGGCAGCUCACUGGACUGCAACUGACACUGAGGCUCGAAAGUGUGGGUAUCAAACAGGAUUAGAUACCCCAGUAGUC